Molecule: ribosomal RNA, 465 nt
Filed under: Triticum aestivum (bread wheat)
Lineage: Eukaryota; Viridiplantae; Streptophyta; Magnoliopsida; Poales; Poaceae
Description: partial small subunit ribosomal RNA
Source: RNAcentral
AUGCAACACACGAACUUCAAGAAGAAGAAUGGCAAGAAGAAAGGUGCUUGUCAUGUGUGUGGAGAUCCUGAUCAUUGGGCUCCUAGUUGCCCUAAUCGCUAUGACAAGCGUCAUCCUAGAAAAGGCGGCAAGACCGCUAAUGUUGUCAUUGGAGACACUGACAUGAAGGAUGCUGGGUAUGGUAUAUUUCUCACUAUUCUUUCAGUAUGUCAUUCUCCUGACUGGUUGAUUGACACGGGUGCUAAUGUGCAUGUAUGCGGUAAUAUUUCCAUAUUUUCGUCUUAUCAGACCGCAGGGACUUCAACCGUGCUGAUGGGAAACGGUUCAAGUGCUUCUGUUCAUGGUGUUGGCACGGUCGAUCUGAAGUUUACUUCAGGGAAGAUCGUGCAGCUGAAGAACGUGCAUUAUGUCCCCUCCGUCAAUAAAAAUCUUGUUAGCGGAUCUCUUCUGUGUAGAGAUGGCUAG